This 649-nucleotide ribosomal RNA is filed under the name uncultured bacterium. RNAcentral's name for it is "bacterial SSU rRNA". It matches the Rfam family "Bacterial small subunit ribosomal RNA", at positions 864 to 1504 of the family's 1533-position model. The record is from RNAcentral.
GUACGCCGCCUGGGGAGUACGGCCGCAAGGCUAAAACUCAAAGGAAUUGACGGGGGCUCACACAAGCGGUGGAGCAUGUGGAUUAAUUCGAAGCAACGCGCAGAACCCUACCUGGGUUUGACAUGCACGGAUGCUCUCUUGGAAACAGGAGCAGGCUGCCUUCGGGUGAAACGUGCACAGGUGCUGCAUGGCUGUCGUCAGCUCGUGCUGUGAAGUGUCAGGUUAAGUCCCUUAACGAGCGAAACCCCUAUCGUUAGUUGCCAGCGAGUCAUGUCGGGGACUCUAGCGAGACCGCCGGCGUUAAGCCGGAGGAAGGUGGGGACGACGUCAAGUCAUCAUGGCCUUUAUGCCCAGGGUGUCACACGUGCUACAAUGGCCGGUACAGAGCGACGCGAUACCGAGAGGUGGAGCAAAUCGCACAAAGCCGGCCCCAGUUCGGAUUGGAGUCUGAAAUUCGACUCCAUGAAGUUGGAAUCGCUAGUAAUCGCGUAUCAGCCACGACGCGGUGAAUGUGUUCCUGAGCCUUGUACACACCGCCCGUCAAGUCAUGGAAGCCGGGAGUACCCGAAGUCCGUUUAGCUAACCGCAAGGAUGCGACGGCCGACGGUAAGACUGGUGACUGGGACUAAGUCGUAACAAGGUAACCGUA